This 19-nucleotide transfer RNA is filed under the name Thermococcus barophilus. RNAcentral's name for it is "partial tRNA-Trp". Lineage: Archaea; Methanobacteriati; Methanobacteriota; Thermococci; Thermococcales; Thermococcaceae. The record is from RNAcentral.
GCGGGCUCCAACCCGCGGA